This 30-nucleotide non-coding RNA is filed under the name Homo sapiens (human). Lineage: Eukaryota; Metazoa; Chordata; Mammalia; Primates; Hominidae. The record is from RNAcentral.
UGAUUAAGCCUACUGGAAAUUGACUCUGAA